This 492-nucleotide ribosomal RNA is filed under the name uncultured bacterium. Its description in RNAcentral is "partial 16S ribosomal RNA". It matches the Rfam family "Bacterial small subunit ribosomal RNA", at positions 29 to 507 of the family's 1533-position model. The record is from RNAcentral.
AGUGAACGCUGGCGGUAGGCCUAACACAUGCAAGUCGAACGGCAGCACAGUAAGAGCUUGCUCUUACGGGUGGCGAGUGGCGGACGGGUGAGGAAUACAUCGGAAUCUACUUUUUCGUGGGGGAUAACGUAGGGAAACUUACGCUAAUACCGCAUACGACCUACGGGUGAAAGCAGGGGAUCUUCGGACCUUGCGCGAUUGAAUGAGCCGAUGUCGGAUUAGCUAGUUGGCGGGUUAAAGGCCCACCAAGGCGACGAUCCGUAGCUGGUCUGAGAGGAUGAUCAGCCACACUGGAACUGAGACACGGUCAAGACUCCUACGGGAGGCAGCAGUGGGGAAUAUUGGACAAAGGGCGCAAGCAUGAUCCAGCCAUACCGCGUGGGUGAAGAAGGCCUUCGGGUUGUAAAGCCCUUUUGUUGGGAAAGAAAAGCAGCAGGUUAAUACCCCGCUGUUCUGACGGUACCCAAAGAAUAAGCACCGGCUAACUUCGUG